Trachymyrmex septentrionalis is the source of this 123-nucleotide non-coding RNA. Lineage: Eukaryota; Metazoa; Arthropoda; Insecta; Hymenoptera; Formicidae. The record is from Rfam.
UACAAUAAAUAGUUUAUAAAAAAAAAAAAAAAAAGUUCUCGUCUGAUCACUGAAGUCAAGCAACGUUGAGCACGGUCAGUACUUGGAUGGGUGACCGCUUGGGAACACCGUGUGAUGUUGCCU